AUGUCCGAUCUUCCCAAGCCAUCUGAGGUAGAUGCUGAUAACAUCAUUAAGCCCAGUCUUGAUGAGAUAUCGGCUGAUCAUCGCCAAGUCUAUGAGGAGUACAAGAAGACACGUGAGGAGAAGGACCUGCAGGAGUUCCUUGCAAAAUUCAAGAAAGAUCGCCAAGGCAACAUCACUCCGAUUGGAGAAAUCAAGUUUCCUCCUCUUCAAGCCGAGCAGGUUAAACUCGCUGUGAGUACUACCUUUUCUCCUGAGCAGUGGGCUGAGAUUGAGAGUCGUAUUGCUGAUGGUAACAAUCUGGUCUAUCAAACUUUCAUAGAAAAUACCAAUGCUCAAAAAAAUAUAUCUCAAUCAUCUAGUGGUAAUGAUGGUGUAGCUGCUAGUGUGCAAAACCCUAAUCUGGCUUUACCUAUUGCAUCGGCGCUUCCUGUGCCAAUGGCUUAUUGUCCUACCCAAACAAAUCAGAUUGUGGCUACACCCAUUAACCCUAUUAUGAGCGUGCCAGGUUCGGUGGCAACGCCGAACUAG
Molecule: ribosomal RNA, 528 nt
Filed under: Triticum aestivum (bread wheat)
Lineage: Eukaryota; Viridiplantae; Streptophyta; Magnoliopsida; Poales; Poaceae
Description: partial small subunit ribosomal RNA
Source: RNAcentral